CCUACGGGAGGCAGCAGUGGGGAAUAUUGCACAAUGGGCGCAAGCCUGAUGCAGCCAUGCCGCGUGUAUGAAGAAGGCCUUCGGGUUGUAAAGUACUUUCAGCGAGGAGGAAGGCGUUGUGGUUAAUAACCGCAACGAUUGACGUUACUCGCAGAAGAAGCACCGGCUAACUCCGUGCCAGCAGCCGCGGUGAUACGGGAGCCAGCAGCCGCGAUAAUA
RNAcentral lists this ribosomal RNA (219 nucleotides) under uncultured bacterium. RNAcentral describes it as "partial 16S ribosomal RNA". It matches the Rfam family "Bacterial small subunit ribosomal RNA", at positions 338 to 539 of the family's 1533-position model. The record is from RNAcentral.